CUAAUUAUUAAUCUUCGUACCGCUGUUCAUUCGCCCCAUCUCUCUCUCCCCCGCCGCGACUCUCUUUCCGCAGCCCCAGCGCCACCUCUCUGCUCCCCGCGGCCACCAUCCCCGCCGCCACUCUCUUUCCGCAGCCCCAGCGCCACCACUCUGCUCCCCGCGGCCACCAUCCCCGCCGCCACUCUCUUUCCGCAGCCCCAGCGCCACCACUCUGCUCCCCGCGGCCACCAUCCCCGCCGCCACUCUCUUUCCGCAGCCCCAGCGCCACCCCUCUGCUCCCCGCGGCCACCAUCCCCGCCGCCACCAACCCACAACCCACAUCACCAUGUCUAGUUCGGGAGGCAUGACGGGCUCCGGUGAAGACGUACAGCGGGGCGACUCCAAGUCGGACGACUCUAGCUCAGAUACAUCUGUCUCCUCUGCAACAAGCGGUAGGGGGAGGAGGAAAGGAAAAGGAAAGACAGUGUCUCUCAGGGACUUCCAUAGUCGUCAGCAUGGAGUUCAGUCUGCGGUUUCUAGUCCUUCAAGGCAAACUCCUACUGCUUCUCCAACUCAGCCUCGUCCGAAUCUCAAUAGUAGUCAGGAAUACCCUUUCCUUGGUGCUUUGAGUGGUUCGGCUGCUGAUCCUCGACAGCUUGAUCAGCAGAAGGCCAGAGAAGAACUCGUGCUUGAUGACCGGGUGGCUCGUCUGAAGGCCCUGAAGAUCUCAUGGAAGAGCUCGCCAGGAAAGGCAGUGCAGGGCUGGCUGCUGAGAACAACCGGUUGAAGAAGGAGUUCGCCCACCUGCUUCAAAACUAUGAGAUGAAAGGCAGCAUGAGUUACUAUGGAUGCAGAGCAUUAUUAAUGGUCCCAACCGAGGAUCAUACUUUUAAAGUGGACUUCCAAGCAUAUUCUCGGUCAGGGAUACAUUGACUUGGCACUGAAUGUUGUGGAGAAAAAAGAAGAUGACACUAGCCAUGGAUGGUUGUUAGGAACAACUAUAAAUUUUCUCAGGACACUGCGUCUGCUUGAUAAGGAUGAAUUGCAAGGUGUUAUCUUGGAAUUUGAAAAUUUGCCCGUAACAUUGAAAUCCUUCGCUCAGUAUGCUGCUGCAGAAUUGGUUCAGAGAGAUACUUCGCCGUUUGGACUCGAACAUGAUCUAGUGAUACCUGUGUUUGUUGGCAGACAAAUAUAUAUCAAUGGGCAGAGGCACAUGCUUGAGAGGCAUAGUGCUGGCGAAACCUGGGAAGACAGUUUGAGGAGGAAGACAUUUAUGUCAUUGUAUUUAGUCGUAUAAGUAUGUCAUGCUAUAUUUGAGCAGGUGUCCAAAAGCUCUUAUGUAGUCCUGAAAAUCGAGUCUUAGGUCUCAAAAAGAUGCAUCAAAUCUUGGCUGCGAAGUAUCAACUUGAUGGCCAUUUCCCUCCACAUUUCGACUGCCUGUAAAAUGAUAUGCGUGCCUUAGAUGCUGCAACCAUUGAUAAGAGCUCAAUACUACAAUAUCUUCCUUGUCAUGUGGCUCUCAUGCCAUUUGUAGCAACUGAAUAUAUCAUCGAGAAGUUGUACAAGGCUACUAUGAGAGUGUGUGGAUUUCACCCGAGGAAUAUAGUGAUUAUAUCGA
Long non-coding RNA from Brachypodium distachyon (stiff brome), 1597 nucleotides. RefSeq lists it as uncharacterized. Lineage: Eukaryota; Viridiplantae; Streptophyta; Magnoliopsida; Poales; Poaceae. The record is from RefSeq and is a predicted model, not a curated record. The transcript is spliced from 3 exons.